GGAUGUGAAGGAGAUCUGGCUGUGUCAUCUGUCACCCUAGAAAUCACCAGGGUUGAUUCUGCUGAUCUGGCUGACUAGGCUGCUUCCUCCCUCACCAUUCCAUGUGAAAUUCUCCUGAUGCUGUGUGCUUGGUUGAAGAGCAGGAUGACCUUCCCCCAAAAGAGGAGGUCUAGUCUUUGGUCAAGGCUAUAUGAGUAGCUGUACUCCCCUGCUAGAACAUCCAAGCAAGCUCUCAAAUAUAUGAGCAAACUUAAAAAAAAAAAAUGUGACAGCAAAAUCAGAUAAAAUAAUAACAUUU
Molecule: small nuclear RNA, 298 nt
Filed under: Jaculus jaculus (lesser Egyptian jerboa)
Lineage: Eukaryota; Metazoa; Chordata; Mammalia; Rodentia; Dipodidae
Description: 7SK RNA (ENSJJAG00000004367.1)
Rfam family: 7SK RNA
About the family: 7SK was discovered as an abundant small nuclear RNA in the mid-70s but a possible function has only recently been suggested. Two independent studies have found that 7SK RNA binds the CDK9/cyclin T complex (known as elongation factor P-TEFb).
Source: RNAcentral